GGAUGAGCUAGCAAAUCAGAAUCAAGAAACUGCUAAUCUCACUAAUACACUUGACCGAGAAAUUCAUACACUACGGGCUCAGUUGGAAGCUGCAAAAUAUGAUGUUAUAAAAUAUUGCAUAGGUACCCUUGUGUCUAUAUCAGCUGUUGGUUUGGCCGUAGUCCGACUUUUGAAGUAAGUAAAAUGCUAAUUAUGAUAAAGAAUAUAGUUGUUUAACAACUUUGAUGCUCAAUGGAUAAAACAGAGUUGUAUGACAUCUAAAUCUCCAUUGCAU
Molecule: unclassified non-coding RNA, 274 nt
Filed under: Hevea brasiliensis (rubber tree)
Lineage: Eukaryota; Viridiplantae; Streptophyta; Magnoliopsida; Malpighiales; Euphorbiaceae
Source: RNAcentral